GCGGGGGUCGGCCCUCCCGGGGGUCGUGGUCAGGGGGAUCGGCCCUCCCGGGGUGGGGCGGGGUCAGCCACGGCGGCGAGGGAGGCGGAGGAUGGCUGUGCGCGGCGGCGACGGGCCGAGGCUCCUGCCCGGACGACGCACCUCACGGCGGCGCCAGGACAGCCGGGCUGCACGGCCGGGGCUUCGCCCAGAGGCUGCACAGACACUGCGUGCUGACCGCUGGCCGGCGACCGCGGACACCGCGGGGUCCCAGCCGCGGCGUCUCGGCCGCUCCCCCGGCGGCGGCGCGGGGCGUGCGCCUCCCGGCGAGCAGCUCGGUUAGCUCCCAGCCCCGGGCGGCGCUGUGGCCGCCUGUCACAGACGGGGAAGCCGAGGCGCUGAGUGCCUAAGCGACGGGCCCGAAGCGAGAGCCAGCGCGGCGGCCUCCGCUCGCGGCUGCGGCCCCUGCGGGCGUGUGUCGCCGGCCGGAGAGGAAGGCGGGGGCAGCCGGCGCCGCGCUGCUUCCUCCGCCUCGUCGCUCAGCCCCUCCGGGGACGCUCUGCGCGACGGGCUCGUGCGGACGCAGCGCGGCCCUCGCGGGGCGGUGGAGGCGCGGGGCGUCCCGCGGCCCCGGCUGCCUGAGCCCGGCGCGGAGACCCUGGGGCCGGCCGGCGCUCCGCCGGAGGCCCUGCCGCGCCCGGGAGGCGGCCUGCGGGACUCGGGAGGGCGGGGGCCCGGGAGGCUGAGGGGGGCGGCGCAGCGAGGCCGGGCCGCGGGGCGGCGGCCGCGGGAGGUCAGGGCGCCUGCGGGGCGGGGACUGCGGGCUGUCUUCUCCUGCAGAGCCGCCGGGCCUCCCAGCCAGCCCCGCCUGUGAGGACGCCAGGACCCCGUCGUCCCGUCGCCGGGCGGCCCCGGGAUCCCAAGAUGCCUGCGGUGAAAGCUCUUCCGCAGGAAGCAGCCCAGUGCAGUGUCCCUUGCCUGAGAGGGUGAAGCUAAGAGGCAGAAACACAGUCACCCACUCGUUGCCCCGACGCACUCAAGGGUGGGCUUGGAAGCGGCUAACUGUGGUUCCAAAUUGUUCUUUUCCUUCUGUUAUGUCAGGGAGGUGCCGCCAGCCCCGCCGGGCCAGGCCAGGCCUCCGCAGAGGGCUCCCCUGUGCCUUUGCCUUGUGGAUGCCGAGCUUCUCCGGGAGGAGGUUCGGGCCUGGGCUCCGCCGCCUGCAGGGUGGAAGCUUGUUUCCCCUGAGCCUGCGCGGGAGGGUUCCCGCCUCUCCCGUUGGAAUAUUCCUUCCUAAUGUGAAGGAAAUGUCCCUGCUUCCCUUUGUUCAGGGACCCAUGACUCUGGACGUGAUUCCCCACACCUCCCGUUAGCUGCAAUAUCGCUGCUUUGUGAGACGACUGCUUCCGGUGGAGAGGCUGACUCACCCGCCAGCAGGGAGCCCGCUUUGGUCUCAGUAAGAAUUCCCUGGAAGAAUACCAAAUGGCGGAACCUCACGGACUGGACGGACGUGCUGUUGAAAUCCCAACUAGUUAAUGUUUCCUGGGUUUCUUUCUUUCAGAAAGGACAGAACCAAACUAACUAAGGCUUAAUUUUCUCUGACCCUUAAUUUGAACGCAGCUGUUCCUUUGUUUUGACUGAUCCUCCACGGCUUUGACAAGUAGAAAUGGCAAGCCACAGGAGAUACUGGGGGACACGAGGAAGCCGUUUGGUGUAAACCUAAUUCGGCCCGGCUUUGUUUUUCCACAAGGCCUGACGUGGCCGUUGAGCAUGCGCUGUACAUCUGCUUAAGCAUUUGCUGUGUCCCGCAGACAAGAACAAAGGCCCUUAAGAUAAAGGUGCAACUUCCCCCACAUGGCAUUUCCUUAAGGACAAGCAUCUCUCCCUGGGCUGGGAACUGAUUGCUAUGCUCACCUGUGACCACCCAGCUCAGGACAACAGACCUGCCACCCUGCUGUGUCCACCAGGACACCAGACCUACUACCUGCUGUGUCUGUCCAUCGCUGUUCCGACAGAGCGGUCUCAUGACUAUUGGAAAAGGGACAUUUCAAGCACAUGUGAAACAUGCUCUUUGGGUGUAUAUAACCACUCUGUACACCCCACGUCUUCGGUGCCCUUCCUUCCUUGGGGAAGGAAGACUCGGGCCAUGGUCCUCACAUUUUGGCUCAGAAUAAACUCACCCAAAUUUUCAUUUCUAGAUUGGUUAUGGAUUGUUUUUGUUGACAACUUGCUCUUCACAAGGCUAAGGAAGUUGGUCCACACCUUGCCUGGGUCUGUGUGGACACAUCUCCACUAACACACGCACACCCACAUCAGCUCCGUGUGUAAGCACAUGGCAUAAUGUAAAUGUUUCACGUAGAGAAUGUAUUGUGGUAGUUUAAGGUGUGUCCUCUGUCUUCCUGGUCGCACUCUUAGGUAUUCACGCAGUGCGUUACAAUUUAGGUCACGCCGCCUGCCUGCGAUUGGUGCCUCCUGGACGGUGAUUACAGUGGAUCCCUCCCAGGCCAAGGGAGCUGGAGCUUCUCCUAGACUCGCUAGGCUGGUACACCAGCGGGGGUUUCCCGCAAAGCCCCCAUUCAGCAGAAGCAUGGCCUUCGGGAUCAGAUGCUGCCUCAGGAUGUGGGGACAGAGUGCCUGCUGGUGGGCCCUUCCCCCAUCACACUCCAACCCCCCCCGACCCCGGAAUUUUACAGUAUUUCAUGGUGCUGAUUUCUCAUUCUGAUCUUCCGGGGCUGGAGCGGUACCAGCAUGUGACUUGUUCCUCCUCCUAUAUCCAUCUUCCUUCAAGUAGAAAAUCAAGAAAAAGAAAUGCAGUGCCUCAUUACUCAGCCGUUUCGGUUGAGUGUUUUCUGGUGCAGAUAUUCCAGAAGCACAUGUCUUGGCGGAAAGACACGAAAGGCUGCCUCCUGCAGUUUUGGGAGCCCACUGACUCCCAUGAUAAAGUGCGGCAACUUGAGCUCUCUUCAUCUUACAAAACUGAAACUCUGCACCCAUUAAAUGACUUCAUUCUCCCCCACCCCAAGGCCCUGGCAACCACCGUUCUACUGUCUGUCUCUAUGAGUUUGACUACUCUAGGUACAUCAGUGGCAGAGUUCCGUGUUCCCGAUCACGCCGCAGACACACGCUGUGAAGCGGCUGCUGAGUCGGAGCUCCCUCCCCAGCGGUGCUGCGCAUCCCAGCACAAGGGCCUGGGUUCCUCCCGGCCUGCCACCGGAGCUGCCAUGUUGGGAUCUAAACAAGCAAGUGGGGGCAAAGCGUGGUCCGACCUUGGCUCAUGGGUGGCUGAGCCCCAACUUGUCACAGGGUCCUAGCACCUGGCCCACAGCUGGUGCGGCGUCAGCGGGGACUGCUGCGGACUGGUCACUGCCCGCAUUUUGUUCAAGCUCCCUUUCUGUGGACGUCAAAGAGGUGUCUAUGAGGGCCGCCAAGGACCACCCAAGAGGCAACAAUGCUCUCUCCGCCCUUGGUUCUGGUGAUGGAAGCUCAGAUCCUAGGCCACACUGGCUGCCCUGGGUCUCUCUGUCCUUGGAAUGAAUCUUUCCCGUCGACAGUCUCUGGCCAGCCUUUCCUACAGAUGGGCCCAAACGUGUCAGAAUUCCUACUAGGCUCAGGCCUGAACCCCACGUCACCCCUUUAUAAGAAGAAAGCACGUCUGAGGACAGGAAAUCACCACGUGCAGUAAAACCAGCAGUGCUGUCUCCUUUGGGGCCAGUGAGCACUGGCAGAAACAGUCCGGGAUCUGCAGGUGGCCAGAGGGCACUGCACUUUGGGUCUGUUCUGCGGGCUCCGCUGUGAAGAGGGUGCAGAAUCUCUCACUGAGCUGUGAGAGGAUUAGCGUCCUGGCACGUGGUGGACAUUCUGUUCACGGUUGUCACCAGCAGGAGGCGAGGGCUGGCUCCAUGAACCCUAGUCCCCUGGGUCCCAAUAGAGGCAUCGCCAAGGAUUACUUUAAUGUUUUUUUCUCCUGUGAACCCUGUUUUAAAAGCUUUGAUCUUCCUGGUUACAUUUAUUAAUUUGUUUUUUCAUAUUUUAAAAAUUCUAUUUUACUAAAGUUUACUUUCCCCGUUUUAUCAGUCAAGGACAUUUAUUAUCACAGACUUUCAACUAGUGCAAAGGAAGCAGUGUUGUCACACUCUCUUGAUGCAAUUUGAAGCAAACACAAAGAAGGCAACGCCAUGUGUUCUUACUGAAACUUUAUACACGAGGCCAUUUUUACUACUUUCAAGCACAUAGUGACCUCCAUUUCAGAAGCUUCGCUCCAGAUUACGCAGCUCUGACAGCACUGGCUGGCAUUUACGGGACGUUUACCGAGUGGCAGGCUCUGUUCUAGCGCUGUUGCCAUUUGCCUCAAUGCAUUCUCCCCACAGCCUGCCAAGUGAGAUGGACGAUCAGUCCCGGGUUAUAGAUGGAAAUGUUAUAGAGGAAAAGGGUCAGAAACAGCAACGUGUAGGUUAAAUGUCAGCAGCUGGAAACCCACCGAGGAAAAGGAGAUGCUGCCCUCCUUCGCGUCUCCUGAGAAAGGAACUGUGUCUUCAGGAGGAGAACUGGAUGGACCUUUUGCCCCUGAGAGUGGCGCUGCCCCUGACACUGUACCAAACCUUUGUAUCUCCAGAUCUACAUGCAUCUCAUGCAGCAAGCAGUCUGAUAUGAAAAAUCAGGUGGAUAAUUUAAUUAAAGUCAUCCUGAAUGGGUUAUUCCCGCAGAAGCUCAUGCAAACCUCUUGGGAGCAAUACGACUUCACUACGGGCCUGAGCGAAUCUCCAUAGUUACAGUUCCAGGGAAAAGAGACUCACCUCAAAAAUGACAGAACACACACAGCAGCAGGGCACUAUGAGUGGGAAUGAAUAAAGAGCCAGCAGCAACAAGCACAUGAACAGUUUAGACACUAGAAUUCUCAG
This 4874-nucleotide long non-coding RNA is filed under the name Equus caballus (horse). Its description in RNAcentral is "lncRNA (ENSECAG00000056550.1)". Lineage: Eukaryota; Metazoa; Chordata; Mammalia; Perissodactyla; Equidae. The record is from RNAcentral.